RNAcentral lists this transfer RNA (72 nucleotides) under Phrynosoma platyrhinos (Desert horned lizard). Its description in RNAcentral is "tRNA-OTHER". Lineage: Eukaryota; Metazoa; Chordata; Lepidosauria; Squamata; Phrynosomatidae. The record is from RNAcentral.
GCCAGACUGGCAUAGUGGUUUGAGCAUUGGACUAGGACUCUGGAGACCAGGGUUAGAAUCCCAGCUUGGCCA